AGAUGCCAAGCUCAGGCUUAGUGGAGCCUGACUGAAGUCUAGUGAAGGAGAGAAUCUUUACCACUGCAAAGAUGUAUGAUUCUUGUUUUAAUUGGGUAGGGUAGGUACGUAUUGUAACAAGCUCUCCUACCCCCGAAUGUCAGUGUUUAAGUUGCAUCUUUGACUAUAAGUGGAUGCUAUGGUUUGAAUGAUUGUCUCCUCCAAAACUCAUGCUGAAAUUUAAUUACCAUUUUAACAGUGUUAAGAUGUGGGACUUUUAAGAGUGAUUAGAUCAUGAGGCCUCUGCCCUCAUCAAUUAAUCAAUGCCAUUACUGGGGGAGUGGGUUUACUCCCUCUCACUCUCUGUCUCUCUCGUGCCCUCUCUCUGCCCUUUGUCCAUGUGAUGAUGCAGCAAGAAGGCCCUUGGCAGAUGCUGUCAUCGUGAUACAGGACUUCCCCGCCUCCAGAACGAAAACAGAGAACAUUUCAGUGAAGGAGGAAACAGGAAAUUCCAACAGAUCAGCAACAGUUGGAGGGCUAACCUGUCACUGGCAUGAAAAAAAAAUGCUGUUGUUGAUACAUCUUCUCCUUGUUUUUGACACAAAUUAGGUAACUCCCUGACUUACUGUCUCUUCGUAAAAUUGGUAGCGGUGUGAUAAAUGUCUACGCAGUAUAUAGAGAUAUUCAUAACAAAGACUUAUGCUAUGAAAAAUGUCCUUUUUUCACAAUAGAAAGAAUAACUCAUGCUCUAUAUAAUUUGCACCUAUAUAUUUUGUUGUUGUAUAUCCUGGUUUGCUCACUAAGCUGAAGUUCAUUUUCUUAACGUGAUUCUUGAGUCCAAAACUGACAAAUCAAAAGGAUCAAAUAUUGGGCUCCUAUAUUUUAUGUACAGUAGUUGUGAAGUUCACCUCAGUGGGUCUGCAUGAAAGCCCCCGCUUUCAUGAAAAUAAUUGUUCUUCAUUCUCAAAAGCAAUUUUGAAAUUCAGACUCAGAGACUUAUUCCUUUGUUUUGUGUUUCGUGGAUGAAUAAUCCCAGAUAUAAGGAUAAUUAUUCUAUUUUUGAUUAUUUAAUAAUAUAUUCAAUAUUCACUCAAAAAUAUAUAUGAUUGCUGGUUUUGAUAAUUGUAUUAGGGUGAUAUAUAUAUAAUGUUAAUAUCAGGGAAAACAAAGUGAAAGGAAUGGAAAUGUAAAAAGAAAAAUAUUUAUUGACUUGCUACUGUGGGCCAGGAAUUGUGUGAGGUACUUGGUAUACAAUGGUGAUCAACCAGGCAGAACCAAUAAUUCCCUCCUCUCCUCAUUUAGUUAAGAAGUUGUCAUUUAAUCAUACCAAAGCCUUUUUCACGGCAAUUGAAGCUGAUUUGUAUUUCAUUCUCUUCUAGAAAACCUUGAUUUUACUACUUACAGAGCACUUACAGCAUGUUAAGCACUCAUUCCUAGGUGUUUUCCAUAUUUGAUUAUUUCAUUCUUACAAUGCACUGACUCAGUAAGUGUUAUUACCCAUGAUUUGCAGAUGAGGAAACAAGUGUAAGUUAAAUUAGUUAUCUCGUAUAUAAAGUGGCUGAGGCUGGGCACAGUGGCUCACACCUGUAAUCUCAGCACUUUGAAAGGGUGAGGUGGGUGGAUCACUUGAGGUCAGGAGUUUAAGAUCAGCUUGGCCAACAUGGCAAAACCCUGUCUCUACAAAAAAAUAAAACAAAAAUUAGCUGGGCGGGGUUGUGCACCUGUCAUUCUAGCCACUCAGGACACUGAGGCAAGAGAACCACUUGAACCCGGGAGAUGGAGGUUGCAGUGAACUGAGAUUGUACCACUGCAUUCCAGCCUGGGUGACAAGAGUGAAACUCCAUCUCAAUAAUAGUAAUAAUAAUAAUAAAUAAAUAAUAAUAAAGUGGCCAAUCCGAGACUUACUUUCACAUGGGAUCAUCUAAAUCCAUAGAAUGUUCUCAUCUCACCUCACAGACCAUUGCUGAUGAUAAACACCUCCAUGCUGUGUUCUUCCAGACUUGAAUAUUCUCUCAGGAUAAAGACGGCCUGAUUCCAUUCCUUUCCUCAUAGCCUUGUUCUUACAGCAUUUAUUACACACCAACAGUCUACCUACCUACCUCUUCCUGUGGUUUACUUAGCAGAACCAUUAACUGGACAUCAGUUUCUUAAUCAUGGCUUGGUUAAUGUAGACGGAGUUAAGAGGAUGGGUGCAGACCCAAUAUUAUGGAGUAAAUGAUGCCUUCUGAUCAACAUCACGUAAAUGACAAAGAAUUUUAGUACUGGAGAUGUGAGUGGGUUUGAAGUAUCUCUACUUCUUUUAAAUGUUACUUCCA
This is a long non-coding RNA of Callithrix jacchus (white-tufted-ear marmoset), 2294 nucleotides long. The record is from Ensembl. Lineage: Eukaryota; Metazoa; Chordata; Mammalia; Primates; Cebidae.